Molecule: ribosomal RNA, 253 nt
Filed under: uncultured bacterium
Lineage: Bacteria
Description: partial 16S ribosomal RNA
Rfam family: Bacterial small subunit ribosomal RNA
Source: RNAcentral
UACGUAGGGGGCAAGCGUUGUCCGGAUUUAUUGGGCGUAAAGGGCGCGUAGGCGGCUUGGGAAGUCUGUGGUGAAAGCUCGUGGCUCAACUGCGAGUCGGCCAUAGAUACUCCUAAGCUCGAGUCGACUAGAGGCAGAUGGAAUUCCGGGUGUAGCGGUGGAAUGCGUAGAGAUCCGGAAGAACACCGGUGGCGAAGGCGGUCUGCUGGGGUCGAACUGACGCUGAGGCGCGACAGCGUGGGGAGCAAACAGG